RNAcentral lists this ribosomal RNA (377 nucleotides) under uncultured bacterium. RNAcentral describes it as "bacterial SSU rRNA". It matches the Rfam family "Bacterial small subunit ribosomal RNA", at positions 521 to 895 of the family's 1533-position model. The record is from RNAcentral.
UAAUACGUAGGGCGCAAGCGUUGUCCGGAAUUAUUGGGCGUAAAGAGCUCGUAGGCGGCCAGUCACGUCGGGUGUGAAAGCCCGGGGCUUAACCCCGGGUCUGCAUUCGAUACGGGCUGGCUAGAGUGUGGUAGGGGAGAUCGGAAUUCCUGGUGUAGCGGUGAAAUGCGCAGAUAUCAGGAGGAACACCGGUGGCGAAGGCGGAUCUCUGGGCCAUUACUGACGCUGAGGAGCGAAAGCGUGGGGAGCGAACAGGAUUAGAUACCCUGGUAGUCCACGCCGUAAACGGUGGGAACUAGGUGUUGGCGACAUUCCACGUCGUCGGUGCCGCAGCUAACGCAUUAAGUUCCCCGCCUGGGGAGUACGGCCGCAAGGCU